This is a long non-coding RNA of Labeo rohita (rohu), 574 nucleotides long. RefSeq lists it as uncharacterized. Lineage: Eukaryota; Metazoa; Chordata; Actinopteri; Cypriniformes; Cyprinidae. The transcript is spliced from 3 exons. The record is from RefSeq and is a predicted model, not a curated record.
GCCGAGCUCUCAGCCUCGACCGACGGCUCAUCCGUCAACAGCGAGUGUGAACGAGCGAUUCCGGGUGACAGAGAAAACAACCAGGCUUGUGUUAGCGGCAGCUGCAACGACCCGGCGGAUGUUAUUCUUAGACCGCUCUCAUUUACUGCUCAGAAUGGUGCUGGAAACAAGUGCCCCAUCAUAAUAAGCAGAGAAAAGAAACGGACAAGUGCCUGUGAUAGAGAGGAUGGAGGUGGAUGUUGGCGGUGCGGGGCUCAGGGUGCCAGAGGGUAAUCAAGACAAUGAGGCCACAAUCACAAAGGAAGAUGUGCCAGUGUGAUUGGCACCGCAAGAACAGAAACAUCUGAAGAUGACGAGAUCUCAUUUCACAGGCAUAGACAGUGAAUGAUGAGCGACCCUUCAGCUGAUUUGGGCUAGAAGUUCCUCCGCUGUUUUAUGUUAUGGAAAAUGUUGUACUAUAUAAUGUUGAAAUAUAACAUUUGAUGUAGCAUUUAUUGCUAGAUUGUAACAUAUUUAGAGAUUCAGCAUGUACAGAUGAUGCAUCAAUAUAUUAUUAAAGGAAAGAAAUAAAAAC